GCGACAUAUGUAUGAAACAUUGAACAUAAAUAAAAUAAAAAAACUUAUUAUAUAGUUUGUCUGUAAUUUGCGAGAUGAAUCUUUUGAGCUUAAUUAGUUUAUGAUUGGACAAUAUUUUUUUUUGUCUUAGGAACUAAACAAGGCCUUAAUGGAUGCGGGCCUAUGAGUUAGAGUGCAUGGGGACCAGCACCUACAUAAUGCAUGGGAGUAUAUAUUUGCAACAUGUAUGAGACGUCUGAUUUUUCCCAUCAGCCAUCAUGUUCCUAGGCUCUAGGCUGCAGGCUUAAGCACCACUAUGCUAGGCGCUAGGCAGCGGCAGGCCUCCGGCAGCAAGAGCAGCAGCGUCAGCAACACUGCAGGUUGUACAGAGGAGGCAGGCAGAACGAGAGUAUUACUGGGGCGAGCGAGCGACGGGCGGGUCGACGAUUUACUUUCACCAUUUUUAGUAGUAGGAUUAAAUAUGUUAAUGUGGCAUCAUAUUAAUGAAGAGAGAGAUUAUAAGAGUUUCAUGAGAGUAACACUAUUUCCAAGAUAUGGAUGUGUUGGAAACUGAAUCAUGAAACUUCCACUGAAGAUAGCCUCAGUGCACAUAACAUCACAAGAUCAUUUGAGUUGUAAUUUUGAUCUCUGAAAUGCAUAUAUAAUGCAAUGAACUUAUGCAUUUAUUAAUUUUUGUUAUAUUUGUUUGGCUUGGCUUUAUUUUUUAAUAUGGUAGUAAAUAUGUAUAUGAAGUAUUUUUUUUGUUUAACUUUUUUGUGAUGGCAGUUAUGGGACAUUUUCGUACAUUGAUUUGGAUUAAUUUCUCUUAAUAUUAGUGGUAAGUAAUUUAUAAAAAAUAUUAGAUGUGGAUUGAGUUUUCAUAGCACAAAUGGUGAGUAAUCUAUGAAUAUGUAUAGGGGCAUAUUGUGUUAAUUUUGGAUGAUGGCAGUGAUGUGUAGAGAAACAUACACACAUAGGUUCUUUUAUCUAAUUAACGUUGAAAUUUGUAGACUUAGCUUGUAAGGGCACUCACAGUGCAGACUCUAUCAUAGAGUCUAAAGUUAUUUAUUACCUCGAACAAUAUGGACUUAGAGUCUAAAUAAGACUUGGAGUCUUAUUUUUUCUACCUCUUUCUUCAAUAAAUAUGCUGCCACAUCAGCAAAAUACCAUAAAUAAUGUAUAAUUAAUUGUCUUGGACUCUGUGAUAGAGUCUUGCAUUGUGAGUGCCCUAAGCAAACGUGGACGCUCCUACGCAGAUAACAAGACAAGGAUCUAGAUUGUUGAGGGAAAUAAAGGCUUGCUUAAUUAGGAUUAGUGAAAGUUUGGACCUUACAUUCAAUGGCUGUCGUGGCCUCCACCAUACCAUCUCUUUCUGCUUUCUUGGAGAUAAACUAUGUUGCCUUCUGAUGAUCCUGCUACUUUAUUCAGUGAUUUUGAUUUGUAAUCAGAUUGUUCUAGGGAAAGUGAAAGUGCCGGAUGCCUAGAAGAAAUCACGUGGAUUGGUUCCACUGAAUGGGAUGGAGAAUUGGGUGCGAAGGAAUCGAAUCGAGAUUGUGUGAAACCAAUCCUGUUCUUCUAAUUAAUUUCUUUUAGAGUUCAGGAAACCGUAUGAAUGCUAGUAGUUACUUUGGCAUAUGCUGUAAGGUCUGCGUCUAGAAACUUUAAGAGUUGGCUGCAUCUCCAUUCCGGCUAAGUGGAACCAUAUAAUCCAGUAAGAGAAAAGUCUGUUUGCUUGCCUAUGAGCGGAAGCAGUUUGUAUGAGUGG
This 1744-nucleotide long non-coding RNA is filed under the name Sorghum bicolor (sorghum). Its description in RNAcentral is "long non-coding RNA (SBIC_LNC007907)". The record is from RNAcentral. Lineage: Eukaryota; Viridiplantae; Streptophyta; Magnoliopsida; Poales; Poaceae.